UAGGACCAGGAAGCGCGGUGUGUCGGC
RNAcentral lists this small RNA (27 nucleotides) under Bombyx mori (domestic silkworm). RNAcentral describes it as "ovarian small RNA-22648". The record is from RNAcentral. Lineage: Eukaryota; Metazoa; Arthropoda; Insecta; Lepidoptera; Bombycidae.